RNAcentral lists this ribosomal RNA (508 nucleotides) under Salmonella enterica subsp. enterica serovar Newport. RNAcentral describes it as "partial 23S ribosomal RNA". It matches the Rfam family "Bacterial large subunit ribosomal RNA", at positions 98 to 644 of the family's 2925-position model. The record is from RNAcentral. Lineage: Bacteria; Pseudomonadati; Pseudomonadota; Gammaproteobacteria; Enterobacterales; Enterobacteriaceae.
UUAUAACCGGCGAUUUCCGAAUGGGGAAACCCAGUGUGAUUCGUCACACUAUCAUUAACUGAAUCCAUAGGUUAAUGAGGCGAACCGGGGGAACUGAAACAUCUAAGUACCCCGAGGAAAAGAAAUCAACCGAGAUUCCCCCAGUAGCGGCGAGCGAACGGGGAGGAGCCCAGAGCCUGAAUCAGCAUGUGUGUUAGUGGAAGCGUCUGGAAAGGCGCGCGAUACAGGGUGACAGCCCCGUACACAAAAGCGCAUGUGCUGUGAGCUCGAUGAGUAGGGCGGGACACGUGGUAUCCUGUCUGAAUAUGGGGGGACCAUCCUCCAAGGCUAAAUACUCCUGACUGACCGAUAGUGAACCAGUACCGUGAGGGAAAGGCGAAAAGAACCCCGGCGAGGGGAGUGAAAAAGAACCUGAAACCGUGUACGUACAAGCAGUGGGAGCACAGGUUUACCUGUGUGACUGCGUACCUUUUGUAUAAUGGGUCAGCGACUUAUAUUCUGUAGCAAG